GUGCUCAUUUCGGCAGUAUAUGUAUUAAAAUUGGAAUCAUACAAACAGGAUUAGCAUGGUUCCAGCACAAAGAUGACACACAAAUUCUUGAAGGAUUCCAUAUGUUU
This is a small nuclear RNA of Sciurus carolinensis (gray squirrel), 107 nucleotides long. NCBI's taxonomy places the organism in Eukaryota, Metazoa, Chordata, Mammalia, Rodentia, Sciuridae. The record is from RefSeq and is a predicted model, not a curated record.